CAUGAAUGUGACCUACCGAAUUAGACUAUUUACCGGAUUUAUAACAUAAGCAACACGACUACUGCCACACGUGGAGCAGGAUCUGCCAACCCUUCCGGAGCACCUGAGAUCACACCUAGUUUUUGGUGUGAUUCGUGCUGCUUAUUCUUUGGUUUUCUAUGUUGUGUAAUGUGUACUAUUGUUUGUUUGUUUGUCUUUUUAAUCUAAGCCAUGGCGUUGUCAGAUUAUUUUCGAUUUAUGAGUUUGACUGUCCCUCUGGUAUCUUUCGUCCCUCUUUUAUAAAGACG
RNAcentral lists this long non-coding RNA (287 nucleotides) under Mytilus galloprovincialis (Mediterranean mussel). The record is from RNAcentral. Lineage: Eukaryota; Metazoa; Mollusca; Bivalvia; Mytilida; Mytilidae.